RNAcentral lists this transfer RNA (84 nucleotides) under Clostridiales bacterium. Its description in RNAcentral is "tRNA-Leu". It matches the Rfam family "tRNA". From Rfam's summary of the family: Transfer RNA (tRNA) molecules are approximately 80 nucleotides in length. Their secondary structure includes four short double-helical elements and three loops (D, anti-codon, and T loops). Lineage: Bacteria; Bacillati; Bacillota; Clostridia; Eubacteriales. RNAcentral also lists the same sequence under 1 other name. The record is from RNAcentral.
GCGGAGGUGUCGGAAUUGGCAGACGAGCAAGACUAAGGAUCUUGUGCCAGCAAUGGCGUGUGGGUUCAAGUCCCAUCCUCCGCA